ACACAGCUGGACAGAGGGACGA
RNAcentral lists this microRNA (22 nucleotides) under Pongo pygmaeus (Bornean orangutan). RNAcentral's name for it is "ppy-miR-4672". The record is from miRBase by way of RNAcentral. Lineage: Eukaryota; Metazoa; Chordata; Mammalia; Primates; Hominidae.